UAUAUAUAUGGCCAUCAUCAUAUAUUGAAUGGGGGAAUGUGGAAGCAGGGAGCAAACGUGUGCCAGGGAUAACUGCUGAAUAUUUCACAGCAAUCUGUGACCCCACAAAAUGUCAGUCCUUCUGCUCCCACAUUUUAAAUUCAGAAUGGUAUUUGGGUAUUAAUUGGAGCCAAGCUAUAGACUCUCAUAAGAAAUGCAUUGUUAUUUAAAUACUUAUAGGAUUCAGAACAAUUCUAUUUUAAUUAUUUUUAGGAGUCUGUGACCACAUUGCUGUUUUCAAAUGAAACCGUUCAUAUCUGCUCAAUAUCAGGGGUAUAUUUUGUGGUUCACUUAUUGCAAGUUUUUUUUCAUCCCCUCCCAUUGAGGCAACACUCUACUGUCAGAUUGUGUCACCUGCAUGAUCCAUGGAAAUGUAUUUAUCUAGUGUAUGAAGCAUGAAGGAAAUAUUUAAAGUGGACCUAUCACACACCUUUUUAAGUUCUUAGUUGUAUUUUCAUUAUCUACUAUUAUAAGUUGUCAUGCUGUUACAUUGCUGCUAGAUGGAUGAGUGGAUGGAUGGAUGGAUGGAUGGAUGGAUAGACAUGUUUAUGCUGCAGCAGCAUUCAUAACCGAGUAGACGAUAUAAAAUUCUAAAAUGUGCAAUAUAUUCAAGAAAAUAUAAUAGUAUUAUCUUAACUAACUCAACACUAGUGCAAAGAACUAAAGAAACAUACAUAGUCAGUGUGUCAGUAAUUCAUGAUGAUCAUAGAAACUUUACACUAUGUACAGCUGGUCGCUGGGAUUAAACUUGUUUAGUCUGAGAAAAUUGACACUCAAACAAAACUUCAUCAGUGGUCAAGUGGUUUAAUGGGCUCUCUGUGGAACCUUCUCUCCCUGCUCGCCCACUCACAGGCUGCGUUACUGUUUCACAGCCAUUAAACGUGCAAAAGACCUGUAAAAUGUGACGGUCAGACAUUUACAACCGUCGUUAUUUAACUGAAUCCACAAUACUGAAUGCUACUACAUUCAGAACUGUGGACCCACAACCAAAGCUAGCUGCCGUUGUAGCGCAGCGUGGCAGCGUGACAGUCAGCUAAAUACACAGCAACUCAAAUAACAUAGAAAGGACUAAACUUACAUCUUCCGGAGCUUCGCUUUAAAGGUGUUACUGACCCUCCUUCUGUAUUACCGCCACAAAACACAUACAUGGCUUUGGGCCCUACAGAAAUAAGAACCUAUUUUGAUCAUCUAUUUUUUGCACAGGGUUUUCAGAUGGAGCAGAGUUUCUGUGCAGGAUUUGUGUGGUAGGUGGUGUUUUAUGCAUACGCAGCACUUUUAAAUGAGAGCGUUAUUAUGUUGUAUUAUGAAGGAAAUGGAAAUUAUCCGAAGGGAUUGAAAGUCCAGAUAUCUCAAGCUGACUUUUUUAGGGAAUGGCAUCAUUCCCAUCAUUGAUUGCGAUUUAUGAUACUUAACCUCUAUUAAAAUACAAACCUCACAAACAUUAACUGCAUGAAUGAGGUACAUUGCCAAACCCGAUCUCUCAGGUACCAACCGUCGCAGAGUUGCAGGAGUCGAUAAAGAUCAUGUAAAACCUGACAUCCGUCAUCAUCUUCCCUGAGAUGGAUUGAGAAUCAAAGGGUUUGUCCUUUGGAACAAACACUUCUCACUUCCACCGUCUAACUCGCCCUCCUCAAGUGCCUGCGUGGCGGCUCAGGCUCUGUCACUACGGCUGCGCUCUGUGCGCCUCGGGGGGAAUGACAGUCUAUUUAUGUGUUGCAGCUAAAACUUGAGCUCAUCUCCAUGUUAAUUGCUCCACUUGGGGCAGCACACGCUCUCCCCCGCCACGAUUACACUGUGCAGUCACGAUAAUUAUAACAAUCUUGGUGGUGAUGUUCGGCUGGUGCGGAGAAAACAGGUGAGGAGGAUGACAGAGGGUAAAUUACAGGGGGGAGGAAAAGAAAGGACCAUUUUAGCAUUCAAUUGCCGCCGGAAUAGGAACAUUCGUCAGAUUGGCCUCUGUUUCUAGGCACCGGAGCCCUGAGCCUUCACCAGUGAUUUAUAUGCCAGCCGUAUGGCCUCUCCUUAAAUUUGGAAUGUCCAGGACAGGAGAGCUAUAUAUAAAAAAUACUUUUAUUUUUAUUUAAAAUGUUGAAGAUUUAUAUUUUAAAAUUAGUCCACCAGGAAAGUCCAGUCACGAGCUGUCCGACAGCCGGGGUCCAUUUGCAGUCAAUCCGGCAGCAAUAAAUGUCACAGCACACUAGUCACCGCAAAGCAGAAACACGGCAUUACGUUCACCCAUACAUUCCCAUCCGGCUGACAAAUACACCCUCUUGGACUAGAUUCAUUCGAUGGCCCUGGAACUGGUGGGAAACACAUUUCUCCGGGCUCGGGCGCUGUGCUCUUCAUCAGAGGCUCGGCAGCCGCAGUCAUUGAGAGAAGCUGCUUCUUCGCUGCUUCCCUUUUAAAAGUUAGUUCAGGUUAGCGUGAAGUAGACGGUGGCUAAAAAUGGAACGGGGCUUUUCUUUGGUGCCUACUGACAGCUACUGAUGUGUUGGACGGGUGUUAAUCAUUAAUUAUACUUUUCAACCUUGUUUACUGAGCCUUUUAUUCGCUUUCAGCUUUCCCCAUCCUUACUUUUAAUCGAUUUCAUACUCACAGCGUGAAAGCACAUUACAGUGGUUUUUGAUGGCCAUCAAGAAACACCCCUGAAUUUCAACACUUUGUUGAAAAACCUUCCAAGAGUGAAGAGGAAAGAGAAACCACGGAUUCCAAGAAGCAUACGUCUACCGAAACAAUGGUCCUAAUGUCUCAGUGACUUCUUAUUUUGUGUUUGUUACUAUCGAGACAAGUAAUACCGUAAUUUCCGGAGUGCAGAGCGCACCUGAGUAUAAGCCGCACCACCUAAAUUUAGAAAGAAAGACAAAUGUGUACAUAUACAAGCCGUACCUGUCUGUAGGCCGCAGGUGUCCACUCUGUAACAUGAGGUAUUUACACAGAAGGAUGAUACACAGACAUUUUUUAUUUUUAAUCACUGGAAAUAUAUGUAUUUUUCCAAAAAUUGCCUGUAACACGGCACUAAACCUGCACUAACACGGCAGAAAAAACGGGAGUGGCGAUUCGGCUUUCAGUCGGAUCUGCACGGUGGAAACACCACGGCCGUCUGGUGUAAGUAAGUUCUUCAUGUUGCCGUCUCCAACAUCUCAAGUUUAAGCGCAGCCGCUCUGUUUCCUUCUGCGACAGACAGCUUAGUUGCCCGUAACUUAAAUGCUGCAACACAUGCAUUCCUACGUGUAUUUUCCAUGACAAUUGUUUGAAUAUGAUGCGCAAAAGGGUUGAUCGAAACACAACCACACGUCUUCCUCGGCGCAUUCUCUCGCUUUCACGUUUCUCGUUAGCCUGUAAAAGAUGAUACAUUAGCCGCACUGUUGUAUAAGCCGCAGGGUUCAAAACGUGGGGAAAAAAAUAGCGGCUUAUAGUUCGGAAUUUACGGUAGUUUGGAAUUGUAAGUAAGUAAGUAAGUAGCAAAAUAUGUUUGCCUAAAGAUAACUCCCUCAAGGGUUUACAUUUUAUUAGUGAAAAUUUAGGCUAAUUCAGAAGUGCAAGAACUGCAAUUAUUCUUCCAAAGAAAGUCAUUUCCAUUAGAACACAAUGUCGAAUCAAUGUGAACGUUUUAUGUAGAGCAUUUUGCCGCAGUUUGAUCAAAUAUUAUUAUUACUAUUUAUUUGUUUUAACACCUACAGUUUUAAUAGUACUUUAGAUUCAAAGCAAAAAUAUUGACCCUUUUGAGCAGAAAUAAUAGUAAUUUCAACGGCUGUUUGCACAUUGUUGGUUUAUCAGUUUCACACUUAAGUCCUACUGUAAAUCGUAUCAAAGACAAUUAAAAUCAUUGUAUGACUCAUUUUCCCUCUGAGGAGAUCAAGGCUUUAUUUUUAUCACUUUCUCUGGCGAACAAAGGAGGUUGUGUGACUCAUGCAUUCCGUAUUCGUUCGGGGCUCCUCCUCCGCCACAUCCAUCUGUUUAUCUUUACCCGUAAAGAAUUGUGGAUUCUGUGGAACAGAAAAAACAAUGACGGUUGGAAUGUGAACAAAGCCCCGUGUAAAGAAUAGCUCUGUUGGUUGGAUGCAAACAAAGGAAGUGCAGUUAUUUCCAGCUUCUUUCUUCAUUGCUUCACCCAGAAGCCAACAGACUCAUUUCCAUUAUGAUCUUCUUUGGCUCGCAGUACUUUGUCAUUGCCUUGCGGCGGGACCAGAUAUCUAUGUCCCGUUAAUACAUUUAAAUCUAAUUCGAUUUCAGACUCACACCUUGGGCAGAACCACAUUCUGGGAACACAGUUGAAGUAUACGUUUACACCACUAGAUGGGGGGAUGGUCCUAAGAAACAGAUACGAGUUUAAUGACCGCUAAUGCACCUCCAGUAGGAAUGUGUUGUGUUGUUCCGGCUCGUCUAUUUAAAACAAUGAUGGCUGUGGGGGAAAUGUAUUAUAUUGUACUUAUUAGAUAUAACUUAAGCACAGCUUAAAUCUGAACAUAUGCAGACCAGACCAUCCAAACUCACCACAUAAUGAAUGUUGUUGCAACGAAGGUAUUUUGUUUUGGCUGCUGGGGAAUCAUCCAGUUCUGCCCCCACUAACCCUCUAUCAUGGAGACCACAACAGAGUUGGGUUCUCAGCCUUGUGGGUUCUCGGCAGACGGAGGAGGAGAACAUCUACUCGGGGGGGCGGGUAUUACCUUCUUUACACUGGCUUAUAUAGUGUGACUGACUGACCGACCUUUGCUGUUUAUGCUCUACCUCCGUUUCAUUGGAUGCAAUAAUAUGUUUGCAUUACAUCUAGUUGACCUUAUUCUAUAGGAAGCUCAGAUUCAAAUCCUCUAUAAACGACAUCUUUCUAGCAUCUUUCCCCAGAUAGCUUGUUUCUAAUGGGAGCCUGGAGCAGCCGUCCCCCCACCUGCGGCUCCAGGGUCAAAACCAAAUUAAACAUGUAAAAACGUGCAAAAAAAAAAUUUGUUUUCACUAUACAGAAAUCACAUAUGUGAGUUUAGAUACUGUUUAACACAGAUACAAUCGAUGGUGCUUGUCAGUUAUGAUGAAUCCAAGUUUAACAUGGAGUAUUUUUGUACAAGAGCUUGACUAAACAAACAACAGAUGAACCAGACUCAAGUGAGAUAAAAAUAACUGCAUGGUGCCUCCCUCACCCCUAAGCUCUGGCUCACUGCCCUGAUAGAAGUGUAAACGGGGAAACAUGAGGAUAAAAGACAGAGAGCAGCACCCGGGCUUAUAUUUACUGACAAUGAAUCUAAUAUAACAAGAUGAAAUGUGGCUCCUAAUGUAUAUUUGGGAAAUUCAUCCUUUAUUUAUUCAUAUCUAGCUGAUCACAUCAGAUAUUUGUUAGCUGGAAAAAUGUUAUUGUUUGUAUGAAUCCGACUAUGACGAGGUUAUUAUUUAUAUACUGGCUGUGAUUAGCAGUGGGGAGAACUGAGUAAAUUGACGUGUGUGGGUUUCUUGAUGUUGUUGUUGUUGUUACUUUCCUGACACCAGGUGGAGCUCUCCGCUCGGCAGCCACGCUGAAGCCGCUCUGCACUUUUCCCAGAGGGUCAGCGGGUUGAAUCUCACUCCAAGCAUCUUACUUACAGGUGCACACGCAAAGCCACAGGGGAGCUAUUAAUAGAAAAGGUAACUCAAUGACACCGUUUGAGCAACUUCUCUCAAUGCUGAUACUGUAUGUGGGUGUGCAUGUAGAUGUUAUAACAAUACGACAGUUUUCAAACUAUAAUCCAAAGCCAUCUGGGUUUGACAACAGAUGACAUCACAGGGUGCCUGUACGGGUGUGAGUGGGCGGGCGAUGACAUGCAGUGUUGAGUACAUUUACCGGAUCUGAAAAGAGUUUUAGGAUUAGUGAAGAAGACGCUGCCAACAAAGAUGACUAACAGUGAGAACAAACAUCCAGCAAGUCAACGUGUCCCGUUGUUCAUGUAAAAUGUCGCUCAUGUCAAGCCCUUCUGUCCCUCGAAUUAGAGGGGUCAAAGGUUGCAGACAAAGGAUCCUGGUACACAAACUUGGUUUCUAAAAAGGUCUUUGGGUUCAAUCCUUCAAAGCGUCCUUUGGGCAAAGUAAUGCUGAAAAUCAAUUUAACGGCACUCAGCUGAGCUUUGAACGGCUUCUUGAAGAAGCUGAUCUCCCGAUAUGUGACAUAACUCCAUCUGGGACGAAUUAAAGACUCCUUGGCAACAAUAGCUUUUCUUACUCAAUAUCAAUGUUCAAAUGCCAAAAGCUGAGCACGAUUGUUUUGUGCUCUUUGGUUGUCCCUCACACGUCCCUUGAGUAUUACCCCCCUGGUGUAAUACUCACUGGUGCUUUCCAGAUGCACAAUCACAGGAUUGUGUCGGUACAACACAACAUCCAGCCUGCCGCUGCAGGUUAGCGCUUUGUGUGUGUUGGGGUGCGUCCUUUCUGGCCAGCUGACAGCUGAUCUGCUUAAAGGCUUUACUGUAGGUGCCAGGCGGCCGGGAUAAAGCGGCAGCGGUGGUGCUUCGCUCUCCCCUCGGACUUGAUCCACAGGGUUAAUCGGAACAGGUUUGAAACCAGUUCUUUGGCGGCGAGCCCAGUCCAGGCACAUGCAGGCACAGAUAGGUUAGUCACUGUUGUGGUUAUGCUGAAACAGCAUCUAAGGUCUCUCUGUGCAGCCUUAGAGUUCCUGCGUCCUCGGCCCACUUUUACACUGGCUUUCUUUGUUGAUUUGUAAUUAUUAAACAUAUUUUAAACCUAAAGUAUUUCAAUAAAUUUUUCAUUUUUUUUUUUAUAUAUAUGUGUAAUUAUUAUAUCUAAUAACAAAAUUAGAGUAUGAGAUGUUUUUGUUUCACAUAUAUUUAACUUUAACUUUAAAUUUCAUAAAUAUGAAUUCCAGUACCUUUUGCUUCUCUAAAGGAUUUAAUCUUCCUUUGACCAUAAAUGGCAGGUGGUUUGCUAUUGUAGCAACCCUUCCUAACACUCCAAAGUGCAUUUUUCCACUGUUUAUAUUUGGUUGAACGUAUUCCAAAAUCUGUAGAUGAGCCGGAACAACACUGCUCUUGCAAAACACGGCAGCACCGUAGUUGUGACAUUAAACAUCCAGGAUUAUCAAAAGAAUUCUUUUACUUUCUUUGCAUGAAAUAUGUGAUGAAUUCAAUAGUGUUUGUCUCCUCUCUCUCCGUCUUUUCUAUUAAAGCUGAAAGCAAAGAGAGACACUGGAAAGGCAGAUGCAGACACAGACACUCUCAUCAUGCAGCCCGCUUGUUUGCCAAAGUCUCCAUCUUCACUGCUGUACUGAGCCGACAUGAGGAGUCAGAUUAAGAGCUCUAAUCGCCCGCGUUGCAGCCUCAAUAACUACCGACUGCCUUCCUCCACUCUGAUUAUCAAAUUCAUAUUUAAUUAUAUUAUGGACCAAGAUGAAUACAUGUCCUCACAUCUGUUCCUCAGCACGGGACAACGUUAAUACAUUUUUAGUCCACUUUCUGCCACGAUAAUAAAACAAGCAGGUCAACAAGCAAACUUUAGCGUUUCAAAAUGUAUUUGUAAGAAGAUCACAUGACUGAUAGUACGGGAAAGAUGUCCCUUGUAAUGAUGACUCUAAGUGCCCCUUUAGCCGUGGAGCGUUUCAGCCUCUUUCAGCUCAUUAUUGUCUAAUUUUGUAAUUUUCUCAGCAUUGAAUUUAAUUAAAUUUGUCUUUUUAUUUUUUCCUAAACGUGAUGUUGGUUACGCAAGAAAUCCAAACCAUAGUCUUUUCCUUACUAUUGCAAAAACUGAUCUGAAUGCUGAAUGUUUUCUCUCAUAUAAUAAGGAGGUUUAAAUGAAUAGCGUUCACGCCUAUUAGAUGACAUUUUGAUCAGAAACCCAUGACCUGGUUAUCUUCCAUCUGGACCUCUUGGCAAUAAUAUCUUUUCUCACUCAUUCUGAGCACAAGUACAUAACCUUCAUCAUCUGCACUACGAGUCCUAAAUGACUAACAUCAAUAUUGAUGCAAAAAGCUGAGCACGGUUCUUUUGUGCUCUUUGGCUGUCCCGAAGAACAUUAACGCCUAUUAGAUGAGACUGUCAUGACAUUUUCAACAGAAACCCAUGACCUGGUUAUCUUGCAAAGUAUUUGCAAAAUAAAGUAAAUAUUUGAAUAUAAGACAUGUAUGCUCUCGAGAAGAUUCAUCCCCUAAAAAGCAUUGAUCGAGCCCAACAUUCGAAUCAUGGCUGAUGGCUUUGCUGAUACAAGAGGAUGGCGUUAUGAUGCCGUUAAGUCUAAUAUUUAGGAAGUGGGGAAAAAAAGAAAUUGCUGUACCUUUAGCUAGCACCUUUGUCAAUUGCAUGUUCUUUCUCUAGUAAUAGUAAGUAAUUAAUCAACCUCAGGACUGUGAUCAUGAAAUGCAAAGGGUUCAUCCUCGGGCCACCCAGAGAGCCGUUGUGUCUGUAAAGCCAACGGCGAAACGUGCAUCACCAAGUUUUAGAUGGCAGAGCAGAUACGAACUGAUUUUAUUGCCCACUCCUGAAGGAAAUGAAAUGAUGCGAAGGACAUCCCAAGCGAAACAAAGCGCAUUGUCCCUUUUGAAAAACACUGGUACGUCUAUUGCGUUGCAUGAACUAAUGCAAUGGCACGAGCAGCUGUUUAAGACAUCAGCGCUAAUGAAGAGCGUAGGCUCGUGACUGCAGCAGACAAACUACGUCUUGCUUGUCCCUCCGGCGUAGUGCCUGACGUUUGAACACUCAGAUAUGGAUCUACAACAGAGCAAUCCAGCCCUAUCAGUUUCCUUUUUCUUCAUCAAGUUCCUGUGGGAGGCUGAUGACGUCGGGAAAGUCUCUGCGCCUGGUAGCUGCCAUUGUUUGCCACUUUGGGACAGUGAAAAUAUGCAUUUGUCUGAGAGCAAUAUGCAGAAAGGUGUAGAAUGUAAACAAACAGACUCACUGGUUCGUCCACAUUGCUGCGUUCACACUUGACCCCCACUGCAGCUGCAGCCAAAGCAUGCAUCUCAUUUCCCUUUAUUGGGUUGACAAGCAGGUUUGAUGACAAUUGGCUGCAGAACAUAUAUUAGUUAGAGUUAAUUCAAUUUAUUUUUCACAUUUGAAAGUUUUAAUUUGUGUCCCUAUUUCAGAUUGACUGGCAAUUAGUCCUCUUGCCACACGCAUUUUUAUCUCCUGUGUGUGUGUGAGUUAUAAGCAUUAGAAGUCUGUGUUCUUGUUGACAGGAUGGUUUUGUACACAUAUUGUUUUAUUUCUGUUUGUUUAGUUUUAUUUUGAAAUCCUCGGCGUCCUGUGUUUUUUUAAUUCCUGUCCAUCAAUGUUCCCUCCUUCUUUCUGUGAUCAGCUGGGCUUCAUUAGUCCGGUGGUCCUCGCUGUGGCCCCUCAGGUUUUGUCUUCUACCAAUCAGCUGUCAGGCGGCCUUUGUGUCGUCCAACCUGUGUCUUAUUGUCUGAUUAGUUUAUUGUGUAUUUAUUGUCCUGUCUUUUGUCUGCUGGCUGUUGGUUAGUCUGCAAUGUCCCCUGUCGCUGCUGCUGGUGUGUUUUGUGUGGUGUUCUCCCACUCUGGUUUGCCUCUUUGGUAUUUCAUUUUUUUACCUCUCCUGCUCCUAUAAGUUUUGUUUUGGACAUUCCUGGUUCAUGAAAAGCCCCGUGUAUCAUUCCUCUGUUCCACCGGUUCUACCCGCACUUGGAUCCUCCGUAGACAGUCAAAGUCCGUAACCGGGAGUUCCAAGUGAGUCAUGAGACAAUGUUUUACAGAACACAAGGACACGUAACUGCUUUGGUACUUUAAUGCAUCUACCGUGCUGCCUAAAUAUUGUCACCAAAACCAUUAUGAGGGCAAUAAAAUCCUCCUUGAAAUGAGUAAUAACCACAAUUUCUGAUGCCAUGCCCCUUAAUGUAUUUUUUUCAUUUGGCAAAUAACCUUUUCUGGUUUUCAUUCCACAGUAAUUGAAAUGCAUCAGAGUGUGUGACUUUACUGUGUGACUUUAUUUUAAGAAGUUACCUUCUGAGGGUGAAUUGAUAUGUAGUGGAGAUAAUCAGGACCAAAACAACUAUUUGAAUCUACAAAUUAAUUCAUGAUUGUUUUCAUUGUAUCACAUCUACCAAUAUUGAGUCAUUUUUGUUCCCAAACAAUCUAACAGCAGCUAUUUAAAAUGCAUCAAUCUCUAGAUUAUUGCAACACACAAAUGAACUGCUGUUGCUUUGAGAGCUCUCCUAUGGUUGCCAGAGUCAUUUGAGUAAACAUUAUAUAUAUUCUUAACUAACAUUCUCAAUGUUGGUUGGUGUGAAUGCACAUAGAAAAAAAAUCUCACUUCCAAAUGAGUGUUUCAAUGAACGACCCGACUGCACCCAAGAUGUCACUGCCCUGUUACAUACUGCCCCAUUUGAACGUGAACGUACUGGUCAAACGUGCACUUUAAUCUGUGUUAUAACGCUGGGGCUGUGCGCAGUAUCUAGUGAGUGCACCCUCGGCGCUCAUGAGGGUGUUAUCGUGAAAACACUGCUGAGCUGGUACGAUGCAUUACAUCACCAAUUUAUUGCACUUCCUGUGUUCGGCUGGCAGCCCCGUCAUGGUGUUUCCCUUCCUUUCUCCCAACAUGUGCUCAGACAUGCUCGAGCUAGUGGUUUGUUUCCUCUUUAUCUCUGGUGAGAUGAAGCUACUAAACUAUGGAAAUGAUAUCGGUGGGAUAGCUGGUAGUUUACACCGAGCUCCAGCGAGGAAUCCGGUUACCCUGCUGGCAACGAACAGGCUGUACUUGUUUGUAUACACGAGGUUUUUUCACAAUGUAGCGUGGUUUCAAAUUUGUACAAACUGAUGCCAAAGCCCCAAAAUAAGCAAACAUACACAUAUAUAUAUAUAACCAAGAAUUGACAUAUAAAUAGGAGCUGGGGCCGGCCAUUGUUUCAGGCCGGCUUUUCCUCCUUUUUUCUGGGCCGCGGAUCAGCUGCACCUGCGGGGCAAGAGACAAGAGAAGAGGGGCGGAGGUGUAGGAGGACAGGGGUAAGGGGGGGGGGUUGGCAGACUGUACAGGACAAAGGGAGUCAGGGGCAGAACAAUGGUAAGGCCUUGUGGUGGAACUGGAGCGAGACAGCAUGUCUGCAGGGCCCCCGGCCGCCCAGCGCCACACAGGAAGGGGCUUCUCUCCAGAGCUGCCUAAUACGAACGCGCACACAAAUACUUACACAACAUACAAACACACACCGAUAGAGACAAAUGUGAACAAUAGAGCCGCUCCACCCCCCGCCGCCUCCAUCCUGACCGAGCCCUGGACAUGACUCUUCUGUAACUCCAGGGACUCAUCUCACGAGAACUCAGAGAACAGACCGUCCUGUCUGGGAGACGGCUCCAAAGGGCCGAGGUUACUAAAGGUGAGAGUGUUUCAGAGGCGGCUCCGCCCUGUGGAGAUACGCAGCUGCACAGCCCCGCGGUGAUCAGCACAUUAUUCAAAGGCCCCACUAUCAAAAGUUCACUCACUAUUUAGUCAGACCGAGAGAGGGAAAAAAAAGAGAAGGCAAAGUGAUGUCUAUUUGCUGCUGUACAUUAAGUCAACUGCAUGACAGAAUUACACAAUGUGGAGCUGCAGAGGAAGAGCCUCCUGACACAAGUCGUCUGCAGGCCGGCCCGCCGAGCUUCGUCUACGCUGUCACGUUGUUAGUUUACACAUUUAUAGGCCCUCUUGUACUUGCAAUCACUUUGAUCGCCUUCCACCAGCAGCUCUGCAGACGUCUCAAUCGGUGUUGUGACAGCGCUUUGAGCAAUGUGCCAGCCCCCCCUGAGUUGGAGUUUACACAUUCUGACAGACUUGUUUCAGUUUCAGUUGAUUUGUCAGUUACGUGCCCCUUCUUCAUCUCUUUCCUCCGUCCAAACAAAGAUUCAUCUGGACUCACAGUGUGAUGCAAGCGUGUCGGCUCACUGUGUUUGUCCAACACGGGUUGGAAGUUGGUCUUAACAUCGAGUACAGUGAAAUAAUGGGAGGUCAUGUCCAGUUUUAAGGGGAAAUGAUUUAAUCUUCUAACCCGACCACAGAGACGUUUCUUCUUUUCCCUGUGACAAGUCACAGAAACAUUUUCUACGCAAUUUUCUUGAGUCAUCGUUGGCCUUCAGCCACGUUUGUCAAAAAAGAAAAGCGGCCCGAGCUCUCCGUCUCCUCUGUUCUGUUGAAAAUCGCCACGAUACAAUUGGAGAAUGCAAGUAUGCAAAGUAGCGUAUACCUAUGGAUGCCUUACAUUGCAUCAAACGCGUGACAGGGUUACACCAUUCCGCACUGGUGAGCGGUGCUUCCUGACAGAUGGCAGCUUCGCCCUUUCUGAGCCUCGGGCCUCCCGGUGGGUGCCGUCCAGGGGGCAGCGGUCACCUCGCUGACGCAAGGACAAGAAGGCACAAUGCACUGACUCGUUCUCCAAACAAUAGAGGAAUACCUCGGAGUCAGUGCUCAACUCUCCGAAGCAAAUAACAUCUGCGCAAAGACCACCACAUGCCAACGUGCCGACGUUUGAGGAAUGCUCAGAUUCUGUGGAAUGUGUUUCUGUUAUACUUCCACCAUGAGCUAAUCCGGAUGAUGCCACCAAACACUUGUGGGGGGGUCCUGUGGGACUCGCUGUGAGUCAGACAGGCCGGCGCUUCAAAGACAAACCCUCACAGUCAGUGGCCCGGGCUUUUUCCUGCAUUCUUUUUCCUGCAUUCUUCUUUUCCGCGCACCGAUGACCCUCUUUCCUGUAUGGAUGUUACAUCACCGUGACCCCUUGACCUCAGAUCUGCCUCUCUCAAGCAGCUGCUUUUGAAAGUUUAGUGGAGAAGAUGUGGUUGUCAUUCAGAUGACGAAAGCAUUAUUAGGGAUGUGACUGUGACACACAGAAAGUCGUUAACCUUUGAUCCAAGCCGCUCGCGUUUGUGUACCAGGAACCAGUUACGGACGAUUAACGAGAUUUAUUUAAAUGAGGCUCUGCGAAUGCUCCGUUGAAUGGAUUCUAGCGGAAAAACAGAACGUUUUCUGUUCUUUCUUUCGAGAGCUUAACUCUGGAAACACAAUUCUGCAGUAAAAAAAACUCAAUAACGUGAAAAACAACACACACAAAUGAUUUCUUUCCGUCACUGUAUUGCAAAAUGGGACGAUUUAUAACUUUUAACUCCCGAAACACAUUCAUGGACAAGCAAUCUGAUCUGAUCACUAUCAAAACUGACUUGAAACCAGCUGACUUGGAUGGAUUUGACUAGUUUUCCUUGGAAAAUGAAGUUCACUUCACUAUACGCCCCAAAGCUGCCAUUUGUCACUUUAAUCUCUCAUACCAUGUUUCUCCACGAGGAACCAUGAAACUGGAGAACUCCUCAAGUAACAGCAGAUAUUCUACUUUUAUGUAGUUUUCAUCAACGACUUUGGUUUCCAUCAAUUCCUAAACGCGCCAUGUCUCACUUUUAGCUCCCAAAAGGAUGAAAAAAUAAAAUACGGAUAAUAUGAAAUAACAAGUUUAAUGACGGGGUGACGAUGUCGUGUACUUUGCGUGAACAACGCUGGUUCCCAUCGGCGUACUACAGCCACCGCGUCUCCCUUUAAGCUCCAAAAACACGCUGCAGCGCGGCCAGUUAGUUAUGUGACAGAACUCGCGCUAUAUGCGGUUCUCUUCAAGUGGACAGGACAUUUUUCCACGUGUACAUUUCAUAAAUAACGGCGGUUCACAUCUAUCAAAGCCUAAUCUCCCAUUUCUCACUUUCAGCUCCCAAAACCACCAGAAACCAGGUAGUUGUUGUACCGGACGGAUGAGCAGUUUCCAAAGCGUGCUGUCACUCUCUCUCUCUCUCUCUCUCUCCUUUGCAUCCCUCCCUGCUGCAUUUCUCUGGAAAGACGGCGCAGUCGGCUCGAUUUGUUAAAAAAUAACAGACCAGAACCAAAAGCAGCCUUUUGUUAAUGUGCGACAGGCCGAGCGCGUUGCAGCCCACGCGGUUUCAUCAAAGAGGACGCUGACUCGUAUCCAGGGCUGUUGAUUUUACGGCGGGAUCUUCCAGCCAAAGGCUGACUAAUCCUAAGCCUCUGCACAGCUCCUGCUUAGUUCCUCAUCACAGCCCUCGGUUUGAACCGGUUCGCGCUGGAAUCGAGUUGACUGCCACUCCCUGUGCGGUCGCCACUCAUCCAGCUGCCUUUGUCUUUCUCUUUCUCUACCGAACCCCCCCGGCGGCAGCGUUUAUGAGGAGAGAAACAAUUAACCUUUUGAAGCACGCACCUUUUAUUAUAUUCUCAAUCUAAUGAUUGUGGCGUACUCCUGCCCGCACUCCACUCCACUCCACUCCACACACAGACAGACAGACAGACAGACAGACAGACAGACAGACCUCCACCCUGUGUCUCCCUCGCUCAUUGGUUACUGUCCUCCAGGCUGGAGGGCGGCUGUCUGCCACAGUGUCUGUCCACAUCAAAGCCUCCACUGUAUGCGAGGCCAAUGAAAGGCAGGAAGAGGGUGGGAGAGGACGGGUCAACGUAGCUGCCAGCACCGCAAGGGCAGCCAAGACAAUCGCCUUAAAUAUUUAGCUUUUCUUCCUAUUAACAAUUAGAUAGCCGUGGGGGGGGGCAAUAAAAGGGGCUGCCUGGUGUGAGAUACACGAGCCAAACAAAAGGGACAGCUGACAGAUAAAAGGGGCCAAAAUAGACCCGUGAUUGACAAACCUGAUAAAGUGGUAAAUCCAACUGUGGGGGAACUGUAACCCGUUUGGCAUAAACUGAAGAUUAUUAUCCAAAUAAAACUUAAAAUGUUAAAUUUAACUAUUAAAAAAUGUUUUCUUUCAAGCAACAACUUUCACAUUCUUGGAAACACGCGUAUUUGCUUUCCUUCGUAAGGUGAGAAGGUUGGUACCACUCUUAAGGCUGGGAAGGCCUUCCUACCUCCUCUUUACAAAUGCUCUGGGAGCAGCAGUUUAAAGACGCAAUUUAUAUAAUCUCGGGCUCUGCCGUCGCCCCAGAAACACUGCUGUAACUAGUCCCAGGAGAUUAGCCACCUGAGAUUUACCCGCCUUGGCCUGACUGAUACCGGAGCUUCCCAUAUCUAAAAACAUGGGGGCACGCAGUGCCCAAAUAAAGAUGAUGUAACGCAUGCACAACACCCUGCAGGGAACUGGUUUGAGCCUGUACACGGAUCGAAUAUUAAAGCAGUCAGCAUCCACCCAAGUGAUGUGUGUGUCUACCUCUGCGCCCUGAUGCGCACCCAGCCUCCGAUGAGACACCACCAUCACCUCCACGGCGGUUCACAAUGAUGAAGGGAGCGUUUAUGCUCAUUUUGAGGGGGGGAGAAUCAACGGGUGAGGCAGAGAAGCCUCCAACAGGCUACACGGGCUCUUAUCUCGAGAGCGCGGAUGAUUAAAAGGACUCCAGUACAAACAUGUUGUGAGGCGAAAGCCAUCCAGCCCCCACCCUCGCAGCCCAAACAGGGCUAAACUGGUUUGCACUGGUCUGGUGAAGCACACACAAUGCGGUGAGGGAAACCCAAUGAAAGAUUAACCAAGUUCUCUUUCAUGAGUAAGUGUAUUCCCUAAUAAUACUCUUAUUGCAUAACAAUAUUCCCACAUAUGUGCUCAUAAUAAGGCUAUUUUAUUUAUU
This is a long non-coding RNA of Gasterosteus aculeatus aculeatus (three-spined stickleback), 15540 nucleotides long. The record is from Ensembl. Lineage: Eukaryota; Metazoa; Chordata; Actinopteri; Perciformes; Gasterosteidae.